GAUGAAGAACGUAGCGAAAUGCGAUAAGUAAUGCGAAUUGCAGAAUUUCCGUGAGUCAUCGAAUCUUUGAACGCACAUUGCGCCCUGUGGUAUUCCGCAGGGCAUGCCUGUUCGAGCGUCAUUUCAACCCUCAAGCUCUGCUUGGUGUUGGGCCCUGCCCGCUGCGGCCGGCCCUAAAGACAGUGGCGGUGCCGCCUGGCCCUGAGCGUAGUACAUCUCUCGCUCCAGUGCCCGGUGGUAGCCUGCCAGAACCCCAACUCUCGUGGUUGACCUCGGAUCAGGUAGGGAUACCCGCUGAACUUAAGCAUAUCAAUAAGCGGAGGA
This 324-nucleotide unclassified non-coding RNA is filed under the name soil metagenome. RNAcentral's name for it is "partial contains 5.8S ribosomal RNA, internal transcribed spacer 2, and large subunit ribosomal RNA". The stretch from base 1 to 121 matches the Rfam family "5.8S ribosomal RNA", at positions 35 to 154 of the family's 154-position model. The record is from RNAcentral.